GAGGGUAGAGCUCAGUGGUAGAGCGUGUGCUUAGCAUGCACAAGGUCCUGGGUUCAAUCCCCAGUCCCUCCA
RNAcentral lists this transfer RNA (72 nucleotides) under Camelus bactrianus (Bactrian camel). It matches the Rfam family "tRNA". Rfam says of the family: Transfer RNA (tRNA) molecules are approximately 80 nucleotides in length. Their secondary structure includes four short double-helical elements and three loops (D, anti-codon, and T loops). The record is from Rfam by way of RNAcentral. Lineage: Eukaryota; Metazoa; Chordata; Mammalia; Artiodactyla; Camelidae. RNAcentral also lists the same sequence under 1 other name.